CCUACGGGGGGCUGCAGUGAGGAAUAUUGGUCAAUGGGCGGAAGCCUGAACCAGCCAAGCCGCGUGCAGGAUGACGGCCCUACGGGUUGUAAACUGCUUUUAUACGGGAAUAACGCGCCUUACGUGUAGGGCUUUGCAUGUACCGUAUGAAUAAGGACCGGCUAAUUCCGUGCCAGCAGCCGCGGUAAUACGGAGGGUCUGGGCGUUAUCCGGAUUUAUUGGGUUUAAAGGGAGCGUAGGCCGCAUGUCAAGCGUGCUGUGAAAUGUCCGGGCUCAACCCGGGCCUUGCAGCGCGAACUGGCGUGCUUGAGUCCGCGGAAAGCAGGCGGAAUUCGUCGUGUAGCGGUGAAAGGCGUAGAUAUGACGAAGAACCCCGAUUGCGAAGGCAGCUUGCUGCAGCGGAACUGACGCUGAUGCUCGAAAGCGCGGGUAUCGAACAGGAUUAGAUACCCUUGUAGUC
Molecule: ribosomal RNA, 460 nt
Filed under: uncultured bacterium
Lineage: Bacteria
Description: partial 16S ribosomal RNA
Rfam family: Bacterial small subunit ribosomal RNA
Source: RNAcentral